This is a non-coding RNA of Pelobates cultripes (western spadefoot toad), 169 nucleotides long. The record is from the annotation of a GenBank genome assembly. Lineage: Eukaryota; Metazoa; Chordata; Amphibia; Anura; Pelobatidae.
UAGCAACACAUUCCAGCCAAUCAGCAGCAGACCCUCCCUCCCAGACCCUCCCACCUCCUGGACAGCAUCCAUUUUACAUUCAUUGUGAAGCUGUAUUCUUAGUGAGCUGUCCAGGAGGUGGGAGGGUCUGGGAGGGAGGGUCUGCUGCUGAUUGGCUGGAAUGUGUCUG